RNA transcript from Lucilia cuprina (Australian sheep blowfly), 1526 nucleotides. RefSeq lists it as uncharacterized. The transcript has 3 exons. The record is from RefSeq and is a predicted model, not a curated record. Lineage: Eukaryota; Metazoa; Arthropoda; Insecta; Diptera; Calliphoridae.
UUUGUACAGAGAUAAGAGUUUGCAAUAGUGAAUUUCUAAAGAGGGCUAAUGAGGGGCUUCGUCAGCGAAUAGUUUAAAUAGCUCUAACUCUCCAUGAUACAGACAGUCGUACGUUGAAUUUUGUAACGUUCACAGCCAAGACAAACUAAAGCAUAAAAAUAAACAUGGAUUUCUACUACUUGCCCGGUUCCGCUCCCUGCCGCUCAGUCUUGAUGACUGCUAAAGCUCUUGGCAUUGAGCUUAACAAGAAAUUGUUAAACUUGCAAGCUGGCGAACACUUGAAACCUGAAUUCUUGAAGAUCAAUCCCCAGCACACCAUUCCCACUUUGGUCGAUGGUGAUUUCGCCUUGUGGGAAUCUCGUGCCAUUAUGGUUUACUUGGUUGAGAAGUACGGUAAGAACGACUCCUUGUUCCCCAAGUGCCCCAAGAAGCGCGCCGUCAUCAACCAACGUUUGUACUUCGAUAUGGGUACCCUCUACAAGAGCUUCGCUGACUACUACUACCCACAAAUCUUCGCCAAGGCUCCCGCUGAUCCUGAGUUGUACAAGAAAAUGGAAGCUGCCUUCGAUUUCUUGAACACCUUCUUGGAAGGUCACCAAUACGUUGCUGGUGAUUCCUUGACCGUUGCCGAUUUGGCUUUGUUGGCCAGUGUCAGCACCUUUGAAGUUGCCGGUUUCGAUUUCAGCAAAUAUGCCAAUGUUGCCAAGUGGUACGCUAAUGCUAAGACUGUUGCUCCCGGUUUCGAUGAAAACUGGGAAGGUUGCUUGGAAUUCAAGAAAUUCUUCAACUAAAUUAUAAUCACCAUGGAUUUCUAUUAUCUACCCCUUUCUGCUCCCUGCCGUUCCAUUCUCAUGACUGCCAAAGCUCUUGGCAUUGAGUUGAACAAAAAAUAUUUAGAUUUAUUUGCCGGUGAACAUUUAAAACCAGAAUUCUUAAAAAUCAAUCCUCAACACACAAUUCCUACAUUGGUUGAUGGCGAUUUUGCCUUGUGGGAAUCUCGUGCCAUUUGCAUCUAUUUGGUUGAGAAAUAUGGCAAAGAUGAUUCUUUAUAUCCCAAGUGCCCUAAAAAACAGGCAGUAGUCAAUCAACGUUUAUACUUUGAUAUGGGUACUAUGUACGCCUCUUUCGCCAACUACUACUAUCCUCAGGUGAAGCAAAAUUUGCCAGCCGAUCCCGAAAUGUUUGCCAAAAUUGAGGUGGCUUUUGAUUUCUUGAAUACUUUCUUGGAGGGUCAGACAUAUGUUGCCGGCGAUUCUGUGACUAUCGCUGAUUUUGCUCUAUUGGCCACUAUUAGUACUUUUGAUGUGGCCGGUUUUGAUUUUAGUAAAUAUGCUAAUGUUAAGAGAUGGUAUGAACAUUGCAAGACCAGCGUUGCCGGUUUUGAAGAGAAUUGGGAAGGUUGUUUGGAAUUGAAGAAAUGGUUUAAUAAGGAAUAAGUUUUUUUUUACUAGUUUGUAAAUGUAUGUAUACUGAUUAUUUAUAAAAACAAAAUAAAUUUUAGUGCACUAAUCGCUAUUGUAAAUAUA